UACGGAGGGAGCAAGCGUUACUCGGAAUUAUUGGGCGUAAAGGGCGCGUAGGCGAUUCGAAAAGUCAACUGUGAAAGCCCAGGGCCUAACCCUGGAAGUGCAGCUGAUACUGUUGAAUUUGAGUUCCGGAGAGGAAGGCAGAAUUCCCGGUGUAGCGGUGAAAUGCGUAGAUAUUGGGAAGAACACCUGAGGCGAAGGCGGGUUGCUGGGCUGAUACUGACGCUGAGGCGCGAAAGCCAGGGGAGCAAACGGG
This 253-nucleotide ribosomal RNA is filed under the name uncultured bacterium. RNAcentral describes it as "partial 16S ribosomal RNA". It matches the Rfam family "Bacterial small subunit ribosomal RNA", at positions 524 to 776 of the family's 1533-position model. The record is from RNAcentral.